This is a non-coding RNA of Cinara cedri, 350 nucleotides long. The record is from the annotation of a GenBank genome assembly. Lineage: Eukaryota; Metazoa; Arthropoda; Insecta; Hemiptera; Aphididae.
AUUCAGGUGUAACAUGCAUAAUACAAAACCUACUGAAUUUGUAUACCUAAAAAAUAUAAUACAAAUUGAUAUUCAAAAGUAAUAACUUUAUUAUAAGCCUCACAAAAAGUUUUGGGUACAUAUUUUGUUGAGCCACAAGCAGGACAAGUAAUACAAGGAUACACAGCAGCAUUGAAGUAAAUAUACAAUAAAAUAUGUACAAAUAUUAUUUGUAUUUUAAUCAUUGUUAAAAAAUUAGGUCUCGAUUAACAUUCAAACAUUUAAGAAAUAUGGUUGGUAUUCAUCCUACAGUAUCUGAAGAAUUUACUACAGUGAAUGUCACUAGAUGAUCAGAAGGUCUAACUUUGCAG